Molecule: long non-coding RNA, 1267 nt
Filed under: Sinocyclocheilus anshuiensis
Lineage: Eukaryota; Metazoa; Chordata; Actinopteri; Cypriniformes; Cyprinidae
Description: lncRNA (ENSSANG00000029270.1)
Source: RNAcentral
UUCUAUAGUGACUCUCAUUUUAUCUGCAGGACCCAUCAUUAGAGCUGAGGUUGGUGAGAGGAUUCAAGUUGUGUUUAAAAACAAUGCCAGGAGGCCAUAUUCUAUUCAUGCCCAUGGAGUGAAGACCAGUAAAACCCAUCAGGAUGGUGUUCAACCAGGUCAUAUACUGACAUACAACUGGACCAUUCCAAAACGAUCAGGUCCGGGUCCCAGUGAUCCAAACUGUAUAACGUUUGCCUACUACUCCUCUGUCAGCUUAGUUGAGGUAUAAAGAUGAAAGCAAGAAGUGAAGUUGAUAAUGUGAGUUUUUACAGUAUGAUUGUAGAUUUACAGCUCUACUAUGUGAAUGUUCUUCAGGACUUGAUGAGUGGUUUGGUGGGUCCACUGAUAGUGUGCCGCAAAAACACCCUGAACAGCGACAGACGUAGAAAAGACAUUGAUAAAGAGUUUGCCCUCCUUUUUAUGGUGUUUGAUGAAAAUGAGUCCCACUACCUGGAUGAAAACAUAAAAAUUUACCUCAAAGCAGACCCAGAAAAGUUUGACAAAUAUGAUGGGGACUUUAUGGAGAGCAACAAAAUGCAUGGCAUUAACGGAAAGUUGUAUGCUAACCUCCAUGGGUUAAAUAUGAUAGAGAAUGACAGGACCGAGUGGUAUUUGAUAGGACUGGGGAAUGAAGUGGACAUGCACACUGUGCAUUUCCAUGCUCAGAGCUUCACUUACAAAAUGAAUCAUUCUCAUCGAGCUGAUGUUUAUGACCUGUUCCCAGGAACAUUUCAGACCAUUGAACUGACUGCAGGAAGUCCUGGGCAGUGGCUGCUUCACUGCCAUGUGACCGACCACAUCCAUGCGGGCAUGGAGACCAUUUUCACUGUUCGUCCUAAAGGGUCAACAAGAUCAUCAGGGUCUUCAUGGAUUGAUGGCAAAAAUCCAGACAGUGCCUUCAGUCAUUUUAGAAACCUAUCGACUGUGAUGUUGUGUUUCCUUGGAUUGGUCCUAUCUUACUUUGUAGCACACUGAAAGUGACCAUUAGCCCUCAGAAUGGAUAUUUAUUGCUGUGACACUGAUGCUCACUACUUAGUUACCUCAUCUAGCAUUCUCACUGCAUAGCUGUUAGGGAAACUUCCCUUCUUUUGAGGGAAGCAACUACUGAACAAAUGAGAUAUAAAGAUUAGUCUUUCUAAUUUUGAUUUGACUUGCAAGUAAUGAUCCAUUUAAUUGUCUAAUCUUUCAGUUAAUAAAAUCAGCUUAAAGUAGAAUGUACUAUUCA